AAACAAAAUAAGUGAGAUAUUAAAUAUAUAACACCAUAUUGGAUGCAGGGAAACAUAUUCAGUUGAAUACAAAAUCAGCGACUAUUGAUCAGUUUAUGUUUCCAACUUUCCAAUUUAACAUUUAACAAAGUGACUUCAUCCAUAUCCUUACCAUGACCGCAUCCACAUCCUUGUCAUGCUUUUGCCACCAUUAUGCUCCGCUGCCUCCGGCUUAUAACCAUAGUUUCGACCCUUUUCUAUGGGCCGUCGUGGGUUUGAUUAAUUGUAGAAUUUCACGCAACAGAGACCCUCGAAAAGAAGUUAAACAAAACCGAUGGAAAAGAAAAGAAAGCGCCGAGUGGGAUAACAACAAAAACCUGAAAGCCGCGAACAAUAGAGAGCGCCAAGUGUUGCAAGAAUUAAUGAUGGACCCCAACCUCCGUUUGAAACGCCAGCGAGGAAAUUGACCCACAGAGAUGUGACGAAUGUGCAUGCUCCUCGGCAGGAUCCGUAUCCAAGUGCCGGAGUGCAAGAUCCAGAUGAGAUGCAGAUCAAGGACAACGGAGGCCGCAAGGCAACAAAGGUUGGGUUUCUACUGCUCGGUGCGGCUGCCCGUUGGGCGUUUGGUUAAGCAAACCCAACGGGAGGAGUUCGCAGUACCAGGCACCCAGUAUGGAAUCGCUACAUUUGCGCCUGGCAGGAUAGCAAAAAUCCCCGAUGACCUUGAGCCCAUGGCCACGAUGGCAGACUAGCAAGUAUUCUGUGAUAAUUAAAUUAUCCUCAAACAUAUGUAACUCGAAUCAAAUGGAGAGGCGCCUCAAUCCACCAUCGAUACCCACCAUUCGAUUUGAUCCUCGUUGAUUUCACAAUUUGGCAGGACAAUGAGCGCUGAAUAGGCAACUCAUAUAACGCUAAUUUCGCGCUAUCAACGCUUGGAAAAAGGCGAUUCUGCUAUGGGAUCGUCACUUUGGGUAGAGAAAGGUCCUGAAUCCUGGCCGAAAUGCAGGAAGCAGUAGGAGGCAUCGGUGCCAUAAACGCUGCAAGUCAGCUUCGCUCGCAUUUCCACGAAUCGGCCAGCGGGAAAAUGAAGACACAUCCGUGCAAUGAAUAAGGAUGCUAAGAGACUUUUUAUGAUGCCACCCAGGGUGCUAUGAAUGAAAAUCCACCUCGCGAUCCUCAACUUUCGCCAGCGAAUGCUUCGUUUACCUGCGACCCUACUACACAUCUCCAAGACUCGAAUCUCAUCCGAUUUGGAGGAACUGCCUCGAGAGGCUCGUGCGCUCAAUCGAUGCACACAAAUAGCUAUAUAAUCGAUGAAAACAAUGCACACAUUGUGCGAUUUAUACGAUCAAAUUCAUUGGCAGUUUUCAAUUCUCAAGCAUUUUGGAAUCUCUAGCUGUUGCUUUUAUACUACGCGUUUCAAUUC
Molecule: non-coding RNA, 1405 nt
Organism: Drosophila melanogaster (fruit fly)
Lineage: Eukaryota; Metazoa; Arthropoda; Insecta; Diptera; Drosophilidae
Source: Ensembl